This 534-nucleotide ribosomal RNA is filed under the name uncultured bacterium. Its description in RNAcentral is "bacterial SSU rRNA". It matches the Rfam family "Bacterial small subunit ribosomal RNA", at positions 777 to 1304 of the family's 1533-position model. The record is from RNAcentral.
AAUAGAUACCCGGGUAGUCCUAGCCGUAAACUCUGAGUACUGAAUUGAAGGGCCCUCCAUAGCCCUUCAGUUGUAGCGAAAGUGUUAAGUACUCCGCCUGGGGAGUAUGGUCGCAAGGCUGAAACUCAAAGAAAUUGACGGGGGCUCACACAAGCGGUGGAGGAUGUGGCUUAAUUCGAGGCUACGCGAAGAACCUUAUCCUAGUCUUGACAUGCACGGAUUAACUCCUGGAAACAGGAGCCAGGCCUUCGGGUACAACGUGCACAGGUGCUGCAAGGCUGUCGUCAGCUCGUGUCGUGAGAUGUCGGGUUAAGUCCCUUAACGAGCGAAACCCUUGUCUCUAGUUGCCAGCGGGUCAUGCCGGGAACUCUAGAGUGACUGCCGGUGUUAAACCGGAGGAAGGUGGGGAUGACGUCAAGUCCUCAUGGCCUUUAUGAUUAGGGCUGCACACGUCCUACAAUGGCGCGAACAAAGGGAAGCAAAGUCGCGAGACCAAGCAAAUCCCAAAAAACGCGCCCCAGUUCGGAUUGCAGG